AACGAACGCUGGUGGCACGCUUUAUGCAUGCAAGUCGUACGAGAAAGCUCUUUCGGGAGUGAUUAAAGUGGCGCACGGGUGAGGAACACGUAGGUGACCUACCUUGUGGUUUGGGAUAACUGCGGGAAGCCGCAGCUAAUACCGGAUAAGUAGAUCAACUUUGGAAGGAGAUCUAGAAAGAGGGCCUCUAUACUAUGCUCUUGCCGCGAGAAGGGCCUGCGGAACAUUAGCUUGUUGGUGGGGUAAUGGCCUACCAAGGCAACGAUGUUUAACCGGUCUGAGAGGAUGAUCGGUCACACUGGAACUGAGACACGGUCCAG
Molecule: ribosomal RNA, 320 nt
Filed under: uncultured bacterium
Lineage: Bacteria
Description: bacterial SSU rRNA
Rfam family: Bacterial small subunit ribosomal RNA
Source: RNAcentral